Molecule: ribosomal RNA, 162 nt
Filed under: uncultured bacterium
Lineage: Bacteria
Description: partial 16S ribosomal RNA
Rfam family: Bacterial small subunit ribosomal RNA
Source: RNAcentral
UAGGGAUUUUUCGUCAAUGGGCGCAAGCCUGAACGAGCAAUGCCGCGUGAACGAGGAAGGUCUUCGGAUCGUAAAGUUCUGUUGAAGGGGAAAAAGAGCGGAGAGAGGAAAUGGUCUCCGAUUGAUAUUACCCUUCGAGGAAGUCACGGCUAACUACGUGCC